GAUGGAGAGAUUCAACGUUUCCUUGUUCGAUGGGUAAGCCAACCUGAUUCUGAUUAUACAUGGAUCCCUAGAGAGACAUUCUAGCAACUUGAUCCCGACUUAGUGGAGCUUUAUAGGAGUUAGCAAGACCUUCCUUUGCCUAGACCACCUAUCACACGUCUAUGGACGUCAGAAGAAGUUUGUCCAACCACCCAACUUAUGGUUAGGAGACUGACCGCAACAUUUUCGUGAGUCAUUCACUCGACAAAGUUGAGUUUUCUCCCACUCCGAGAGAGUUGAUGAGGACAUUUGCUUAGGACUACUUUCUAGUUUUGCUUGGGCUGGUAUUAUGUUUUGUAAUUGGGCUAGUUUAGUAUUUUGCUUUGAGCUUGCAUUAUAUAUGUAGGUUGGCCCAAGCUUUUUUUAUAUUUUGUAUUAUUGAUAUAUAUUCAGCCCUUUGUGUAAGUAGGGGACAGAUUGGAUGAAUGAAAUGAUAUUUGAGUGUUAAAACACGUUCUCUCCCUCCCUCUUCUCUCCUUCUCUGGAUGUCUAUCCUGCUCCUUCUGCUGGUUCCUUCGGUUUUCUUAUUUUCUACUUCUAUACUUGAGCUACAUCAAGUUGUACUGCAGAUGAAAAUGCAUUGUUCUUGCCUCGUCUUGAGUCCAGUCUAUUUAGUUGCUGAAUUCAUAAAUUGUGUUAUUAAUAUGAAUUUUGAACACCUUAUUGAUUCGGUAUUCAGGGACCUUCAUUUUUUGUACAAUGUGAUUUUCCCCUGCAUCUUGAACUAUUUGGUGUGAAUUCUUCUGAGCACACACUUUAUCACUGGAUGUGAUCCUCUCUUUUUUUAUUCUUUUCUCUUAGUGUGAUUAAAUAGUUGUUAUUAUUCAAAUAAAAAUAUUCGUAUGACCUCUUUCCCCUCCCAAAUUUACAUCUGGAAUGUUGAAAAUAUUAAACUUACUAUAGAGAUGAUCAUUCUAUGGUGACCAUUCUUCUUGGUGCAGUUGUUUAGUUUUGUAGUAAAAUUAACCUAUGAAAAGAAGAUCAUAGUGAUGUGCGUUCUCCGAAUUAUCCAACACAUUAAUUAUUCACCAAUACUUGCUGUUCUAAUCAGGGUUCAUUUUAUUCAAGUUUAUUAUGUUCUUUUCCUUCUCAUUAAUCGGAAUUGAAUUCGUUUAUUAGAGAUUCUGAUUUUUAACAUGUUUUAGAACCUUUUGUAGUGGGAGCAUCGCAACUUUCUGAAUUUAUUUCCUUAUUCAUAUGAAAUUGGCAGAGUGGGAUGAAAAAGAGGAAGGUAAGGAAGUAACUCAGCAAUGGGAAGAUGAUUGGGAUGAUGAUGAUGUCAAUGAUGACUUCUCUCUGCAGCUUAGGAGGGAAUUGGAGAGCAUCACUGAGAAGAAUGGAGCUAAGUCUGCAUGAUAUAAGUUUCUCUUAUUGAUGCUUCCCCAUAAUUUAUUUGUUACCAAAUCCUGUGAUGAUGUCCUUCUAGAACAUUGCGUGUAGGAGAAUCCAUUGAGUUCUCAUUUGAUUCCAGAGUCUUGUUAAUGAAGAAAUUUUCUAUUUUCAUUCCUUAUUCUGAGGUAUAUUUUUAUGGUCCAACUUGACAUCAUUUCACUGGCUGUUCAAUUUCUUCCAUAUCUGAUACAUGAGGAAUUUAUGGCAUUUUUAACAAAGUUAAUUAUA
RNAcentral lists this long non-coding RNA (1659 nucleotides) under Olea europaea subsp. europaea. The record is from RNAcentral. Lineage: Eukaryota; Viridiplantae; Streptophyta; Magnoliopsida; Lamiales; Oleaceae.